Molecule: ribosomal RNA, 254 nt
Filed under: uncultured bacterium
Lineage: Bacteria
Description: partial 16S ribosomal RNA
Rfam family: Bacterial small subunit ribosomal RNA
Source: RNAcentral
UACGUAGGGUGCAAGCGUUAAUCGGAAUUACUGGGCGUAAAGCGUGCGCAGGCGGUUGUGUAAGACAGAUGUGAAAUCCCCGGGCUCAACCUGGGAACUGCAUUUGUGACUGCACGGCUCGAGUGCGGCAGAGGGGGAUGGAAUUCCGCGUGUAGCAGUGAAAUGCGUAGAUAUGCGGAGGAACACCGAUGGCGAAGGCAAUCCCCUGGGCCUGCACUGACGCUCAUGCACGAAAGCCGUGGGGAGCAAACAGG